RNAcentral lists this long non-coding RNA (333 nucleotides) under Panax ginseng (ginseng). RNAcentral's name for it is "long non-coding RNA (PGIN_LNC013480)". Lineage: Eukaryota; Viridiplantae; Streptophyta; Magnoliopsida; Apiales; Araliaceae. The record is from RNAcentral.
UCAGGUAAUAAAGUAAAGAGAUACUUAUCAAGUUACCGAAGUGCGAGACAUCUGCUUUAUUGGGAGUUUGUUUACCCCGAAAGGCCUAACAGAACUACAAGAUAACAUUCGCCUACCACGAAGGGCCUGACGAAGUUUAAAGUGUCGAUCAUUGCCUACCACGAAGGGCCUGACAAUGUCUUAAAGAUGACACUUGCCUACCUCGAAGGGCCUGACAAGGUCUAAGUGGCGACAAUUGCCUACCCCGAAGGGCCUGACAAUGUCAAAUAGUGGCGACAAUUGCCUACCCCGAAGGGCCUGACAAUGCCAAAUAGUGACCUACUGCCAAAAAGG